CCUACGGGAGGCAGCAGUGGGGAAUCUUGCACAAUGGAGGAAACUCUGAUGCAGCGAUGCCGCGUGAGUGAAGAAGGCCUUUGGGUUGUAAAGCUCUUUUGUAGGGGAAGAUAAUGACUGUACCCUAAGAAUAAGGUCCGGCUAACUUCGUGCCAGCAGCCGCGGUAAUACGAAGGGACCUAGCGUAGUUCGGAAUUACUGGGCGUAAAGCGCGCGUAGGCCGUUGAGUUAGUUAAUUGUGAAAUCCCAAAGCUUAACUUUGGAACUGCAAUUAAAACUGCUCGACUAGAGUUUGAUAGAGGAAAGCGGAAUACAUAGUGUAGAGGUGAAAUUCGUAGAUAUUAUGUAGAACACCAGUUGCGAAGGCGGCUUUCUGGAUCAACACUGACGCUGAGGCGCGAAAGUAUGGGUAGCAAAGAGGAUUAGAUACCCUCGUAGUCCAUACCAUAAACGAUGAUUGCUAGAUGUUGGAAAUUUAUUUUCAGUAUCGCAGCUAACGCAUUAAGCAAUCCGCCUGGGGAGUACGACCGCAAGGUUAAAACUCAAAUGAAAUUGACGGCUUGAGAGUUGCGAGCGACACGAGGGAGAG
RNAcentral lists this ribosomal RNA (589 nucleotides) under uncultured bacterium. RNAcentral describes it as "bacterial SSU rRNA". It matches the Rfam family "Bacterial small subunit ribosomal RNA", at positions 338 to 949 of the family's 1533-position model. The record is from RNAcentral.